Molecule: unclassified non-coding RNA, 244 nt
Filed under: uncultured fungus
Lineage: Eukaryota; Fungi
Description: sequence contains ITS1, 5.8S rRNA gene
Rfam family: 5.8S ribosomal RNA (bases 196-244)
Source: RNAcentral
UCUCCGUAGGUGAACCUGCGGAGGGAUCAUUAAGAAUUGAACAGCAGUGUCUGGCACUGUUGCCCAUUCUAACCCUUUGUGAAUCGUACUCGUUGCUUCGGGGGCGACCCCGCCGUUUCGGCGGUGGCGCUCCCGGUGGCCAAUUAUUAAACUCUGCAUCUCUUGCGUCGGAGUCUUAAUAAUGAAUUUAAACAAAACUUUUAACAACGGAUCUCUUGGUUCUGGCAUCGAUGAAGAACGCAGC